GUCUUACUUCACUAAACUACUAGUUAGCUUUCCAACAAAUAAUCAAAACACUCCAUGUAACCAAAGAUGAAUUCAAUCAUUAGGCAAGCUUCAGAGAAUAAAUAGAAAUAUAAUUCUAAAACUUCAUUAUUGGAAUUUAAAAUAAUACUACUUUUCUUUAAUUCUAGUAAAGCCGUUAAACCAAUCAGGAAGCAGUAGAAAUAUGAAUGGAUGGGAGUGAUGGAUUCUUCAUUGCAAAAUGUUUACUGCCUGAGGUUAGAGAUAUGAAUUAGAGACCUACUCUGACCAAAGUUCCAUGACAGGAGCUGUGGGAAGAUAGAAACCUUAACACUAUACAGUCUGAUGUGAAGGAACUGGAACUCUGAUGGGGAUGCACGUGUCCUCAGGUAACUGAAAGCCAUCACCUUCAUUACCUUUUCAGACCUGCUAUCCUCAGACA
RNAcentral lists this long non-coding RNA (439 nucleotides) under Callithrix jacchus (white-tufted-ear marmoset). RNAcentral describes it as "lncRNA (ENSCJAG00000074793.1)". The record is from RNAcentral. Lineage: Eukaryota; Metazoa; Chordata; Mammalia; Primates; Cebidae.